This 497-nucleotide ribosomal RNA is filed under the name uncultured bacterium. RNAcentral describes it as "partial 16S ribosomal RNA". It matches the Rfam family "Bacterial small subunit ribosomal RNA", at positions 28 to 507 of the family's 1533-position model. The record is from RNAcentral.
GAUGAACGCUGGCGGCGUGCCUAAUACAUGCAAGUCGAGCGAACAGAUGAGGAGCUUGCUCCUCUGACGUUAGCGGCGGACGGGUGAGUAACACGUGGAUAACCUACCUAUAAGACUGGGAUAACUUCGGGAAACCGGAGCUAAUACCGGAUAAUAUAUUGAACCGCAUGGUUCGAUAGUGAAAGACGGUUUUGCUGUCACUUAUAGAUGGAUCCGCGCCGCAUUAGCUAGUUGGUAAGGUAACGGCUUACCAAGGCAACGAUGCGUAGCCGACCUGAGAGGGUGAUCGGCCACACUGGAACUGAGACACGGUCCAGACUCCUACGGGAGGCAGCAGUAGGGAAUCUUCCGCAAUGGGCGAAAGCCUGACGGAGCAACGCCGCGUGAGUGAUGAAGGUCUUCGGAUCGUAAAACUCUGUUAUUAAGGAAGAACAAAUGUGUAAGUAACUAUGCACGUCUUGACGGUACCUAAUCAGAAAGCCACGGCUAACUACGUG